This 253-nucleotide ribosomal RNA is filed under the name uncultured bacterium. RNAcentral describes it as "partial 16S ribosomal RNA". It matches the Rfam family "Bacterial small subunit ribosomal RNA", at positions 524 to 776 of the family's 1533-position model. The record is from RNAcentral.
UACGAAGGGGGCUAGCGUUGUCCGGAAUUACUGGGCGUAAAGGGCGCGCAGGCGGCCCUCCAAGUCAGGCGUGAAAGCCCCGGGCUCAACCUGGGAACCGCGCUUGAGACUGGCAUGCUCGAGUUCGGGAGAGGAUGGUGGAAUUCCCAGUGUAGAGGUGAAAUUCGUAGAUAUUGGGAAGAACACCGAUGGCGAAGGCAGCCAUCUGGACCGACACUGACGCUGAGGCGCGAAAGCGUGGGGAGCAAACAGG